RNAcentral lists this long non-coding RNA (294 nucleotides) under Helianthus annuus (common sunflower). RNAcentral describes it as "sRNA HanXRQr2_Chr11g0492691". Lineage: Eukaryota; Viridiplantae; Streptophyta; Magnoliopsida; Asterales; Asteraceae. The record is from RNAcentral.
GAGCAAGCAGGGGGCGACCCCCACUCCUUCAAAACCCUAGAACUUCAGAAAUCUUGCAAAUUGAAGGUUCAAUCCAAGUUCAAAUCGAAUUCUAAACAUAGAUUCCUGAUCCUCAUCACAAGGGGAUUACAAGUUUGACGCGUAACAAGCUAGGUGGAAGCUUGAUGAGGGAGCGGGUCAAACGAAUCAAGAAGGAAAGGAAAAGCGUAGUUCGGAUGCGAGGUACUUUUUGGAUGCCGGAAGACGAUCAAGCUCAAUGAAGAACCGAACACGAUAAAGACACAUGCUUCCGCA